GACACGAGGGCACAAUCCGUAUGAAUCACCGGGAGCCAACAACCAUCAGACAUGUGGCAAUUACUGACGGGUCGAAAUCAAAUCGAAUCAAAUCAUUCCACCAUCUAGUCACCUGCAACAUUAAAUAAUUAUCUCCUCGAGGUGACACUCCAAUAAUGAUUGCACGACCUCCAAAAUGACGAUCAAUGAAGUGAUAAGGCGGAUGAUGGUUCAAUUUUCAAAGAAAUCAUGAAUACCGGUAGCCAAAGCAACCACAAAAUCUGGUGCCA
Molecule: long non-coding RNA, 269 nt
Filed under: Elaeis guineensis (African oil palm)
Lineage: Eukaryota; Viridiplantae; Streptophyta; Magnoliopsida; Arecales; Arecaceae
Description: long non-coding RNA (EGUI_LNC000441)
Source: RNAcentral